AACCUGCCCUAGAGACACGGACAACCCCGGGAAACUGGGAUUAAUCCGUGAUAGGUCACCUCAUCUGGAAGGAGAGAUGGCUUAAAGGGGUACGCGGGCUUCUUCUGCGUAUUCGCUCUAGGAUGGGACUGCGUCCGAUCAGGCUGUUGGCGGGGUAAUGGCCCACCAAACCUGUAACCGGUACGGGCCUUGAGAGAGGUGGCCCGGAGAUGGACACUGAGAGAAGGGUCCAGGUCCUACGGGGCGCAGCAGGCGCGAAACCUUCGCAAUGCGCGAAAGCGUGACGAGGUUAAUCCGAGUGGUCCCCGCUGAGGGGAUCUUUUGUCAGCUGUAAAUAGGCAGGCGAAUAAGGGGAGGGCAAGCCUGGUGUCAGCCGCCGCGGUAAUACCAGCUCCUCGAGUGGUCGGGGCGAUUAUUGGGCCUAAAGCAUCCGUAGCCGGUUCCGUAGGUCCUCUGUUAAAUCCAACCGCUUAACGGUUGACCUGCAGAGGAUACCGCGGGACUAGGAGGCGGGAGAGGCGGACGGUACUCCGCGUGUAGGGGUAAAAUCCUUUGAUCCGCGGAAGA
RNAcentral lists this ribosomal RNA (567 nucleotides) under uncultured archaeon. RNAcentral describes it as "bacterial SSU rRNA". It matches the Rfam family "Archaeal small subunit ribosomal RNA", at positions 106 to 656 of the family's 1478-position model. The record is from RNAcentral.